RNAcentral lists this unclassified non-coding RNA (21 nucleotides) under Mus musculus (house mouse). RNAcentral's name for it is "oocyte_clustered_small_RNA8356". The record is from RNAcentral. Lineage: Eukaryota; Metazoa; Chordata; Mammalia; Rodentia; Muridae.
ACAGUGGCCUGCUCUUCCCCA